AGGCAAAGCACCACCAAGCGCUGAGAGAAUCUCCGAGCUGGUGUCACUUGUAAUCACUGGCUUUUCAGGGAACCCAUUUUAUUACGGCUUCUUGAGUUUUCUUUUGUGAAGCCACAGCCAGUCCUUCUUGGCUGACUCCAAGUGUGGUCAGGAAGCAGUGGUAACCCAUGUCUGUCUAUUGCAAGUCUACACUGCCACACAAAGCCUGAGGUACAGCUGCUGCUGCGGGUCUGUUGAUCUGAACUGCUGAUUUGAAGUGGAUUGAGAGGAUGGAACAAUAGAAGGAGGAUAUGGCUCAGGACAGUCAAGUACUGGAAGAGGAAAGGUACAAAGAGGUGUUGGCACUGAAUGACCCUGAACAGGGCUGCACUGGAAAUAUCAGAGAUGGGGAGUCAGAAGCUCGAGAGGCCGAGCGGGUUGCCCAUGACUGCGCAGUUAGUGGAGCUGUGACUCCACACAGUCCUCAUCCCUCCCUGUGCUGGGUCAAUGCAGUGGGGACAAAUGACCCAGGGUGGCGUGCUUAGGGAAGCAAGGGUUUUCUCCUUCCUGAAAGACGGAUAUGCCAUGAGGCAGCCGGUGAUGUCCCAGGGCUGGAGAGCUAGAGGAGCCUCGGAGGCCCCCAGCCUGUCUUCUGCCAAGCGGAGAACUCCCUGGGAGCACAGCUU
This 665-nucleotide long non-coding RNA is filed under the name Homo sapiens (human). Its description in RNAcentral is "non-protein coding lnc-UBXN4-1:3". Lineage: Eukaryota; Metazoa; Chordata; Mammalia; Primates; Hominidae. The record is from RNAcentral.